CCCAGCUAGGAGGCAGACUAGCCACUGUUUGCCUGCCGAGGCUCCGCCCUGCUGUUGUGAGGUUCGACCUGUUGGGGCAGGCUCUCCUGUUCUGCUGUGGUCUCCGCCACGCCCUGUGGUGGAGUCUUUGCUGUAGUGGGUUGCCUCGGCAACGGCAGGCUGCCUCAGCAGUGGGCAUGUAUCUCAGUAGGGACGGGUUGCCUCGGCAAUGGCAGGCUGCGUCAGCAGUGGGCGUGUAUCUCAGUAGGGACGGGUUGCCUCGGCAACGGCUGUCUGCCUCAGCAAUGGGCAUGUAUCUCAGUUGGGGCGGGUUGCCUCGGUAAUGGUGGACGCCCCUCCCCCACAGAGCAUCUUAGACCGUCUACUCGGGAUCAUUUGAAAUCGCAGUUUUGUUCGUCCCACUGGGCUAUCCCAAACGCUCUGUCCCUGCAAUCCCCUGGGCUGGCCCACUGUCCAAGUUUCAUUCAGUCUCAAGUCCAGACCUCUCAAGUCUCAGGUUGCCGGUUCAACAGGGCACCCGGACAAGUGCGCCCUUGGAGAGUGCUGGGUAGGGCCGGCUGCCGCCACCCCGGCUGCCGGCUUCACCAGGCAGAGGUACUGGCUGGCAUCCCACGUCUCCUUUAUACUUGGGAAUUUCCCCGUUCUGUGGGCAACAGAGAUCAGUCUGGAAAUGCAGCUCCGACUCACCUCUCCGUGGAUUCAACGAGAGCUCCAAUCCUGUGUUGGUCUCACAGCGCCAUCUUGAGUCCUCCCCCGACUAUUUUUUUCUUACACUAUAGAAGCUAAAAUCAUUAUAUUGUUCUUACACUAUAAGAGCUAAGGUUGUCUGUUUACAUCAACUUUGAUACAAGUGAUCAUUGUCUAAAUACUUAUUUAAUAGAUGUUUAUUUAAAAAGAAAAAGAAAAAAUAGAGAUGUUUAUUAAGUGACUACUAUGUCCCAGGCAUGAUUCUAGGUGCUUGGGAUAUGAGUGAGUUAAACAGAGAAAAAUUACUGACUUCAUUAGGCUUACAUUUUAGCAGCGAGAGAGAGAGAAAGAAAUACAUUAGAAACAUAAUAAAUAGGUAUAUGCUAUAGUAUUUCAGAUGGUAAUGAAUGCUACAUAAAAGAAAAUGAAAGUAGCAUAAAAGCAGUCAGAUGUGCCUAAUGAAAAUUAGCUGAAAUCAACCCCAGUAGUACCAUAGGUAGUUUUUUUUUUUUUGGUUAAACAGACCCUUUUGGUCUUAAAGCUUGAACCUUACAUUUGUUUCAUCCAAGUUCUUUCCUCAGAAAAUGACCUUCAGACCUAAAAAAAAAAACAAAAACAAAAAACAAAUAAUUACCAGGUUACCACACCCAGACAAUGAGAUGCCUGACUCCUCAUUCCUCAUAAUUGCUUCCUUGCCUCUCCCCUAGCCUGGUUUCUUAUACAUUGUUACAUUUCCUCGCUGCUGUUUAAACCCCUAGUUUUAGUCAAUCAGGGAGACAGAUUUGAGACUGAAUUCCCAUGUCCUCCCUGCAGUACCCAAGUAAACUUUCUUCUUCAGCUACACUCAUCGUCUCAGUGAUUGGCUUUCUGUGCUGCCAGCAGCAAGACCUAGAAAAAACUGCUGGUGUUUCGGUAACAAUAAAUGUUGCAUAGAAAGGAAAAUGAGAAUAAGCUAAAGGCAGCCAGACGUGCCUAAUGAAAAUUAGAUAGCUACAAGUAUUUUUUUCUGACAUCUUAAAAUUAACUGUAUACUACACAUAUAUAGAUAUAUUUAUUUAUACACAUAUACAUACAUAUAUACUUUUGGAAACAGUGGUCUAGGCCAGCAUUUCCGUUUGGAAAUUAUAGAAUACAAAGUCCCUUAACAAAACAAAGUCACUUAACAAAAGUAAGUUGACAAAAGUAAUUGGAGAACAGAAUACAUGUAGAACUUAGAACUCAUACCUCUCUGGUUCCCAACCAUGUAUGGUUUCUUUUUCAUAAUUCUGGAGCUUCAGGGCAAACUCUCAACUGUAUUAGAUCUUUGUAAUGCUUAUAAUCUGAAGACAAGUCAUAUGUAUAACUGAAGCAAAAAAUCACAAUGCAUUGAUGUGUUCAAGAGAUAAUUUUGGGUGGGUGUGGCAUCUCAUGCCUAUAAUCUCAGUACUUUGGGAGGGUGAGGCAGGUGAAUCACUUGAGUUCAGGAGUUUGAGACCACCCUGACCAACAUGGCAAAACCCUGUCUCUACUAAAAUUAUAAAAAUUAGCCGGGCAUAUCGGUGGAUGCCUGUAAUCCCAGAUACUCAGGAGGUGCCAGUCAGUUGGUGGUACCUUUGUGUUACAGGGGGCAGGUGGGCUGAGGAGGAGGCAGCAGCAGUGGGCCUGAGGCGAAGGAGCACCCAGGAGCCUGCCUCACUGGUAGCAAUAUUAAUAAGGCAGCGGAAAGAAGAAAUAUGAAUAUGGCUCCAUCAAUACCCAGCCCCACACGAAGCCGUGAGUUACCUUGGGAGAGUUGGGCUCUGGGGAGUUAAGCCGAGCUUCCUACACCAAAGGUGUUUCCUUCCCCCCAACGAGUGAAAUACUCAAGCAAACGAUAAGAACAUGAACCUGUGUGAAGGGCCUUGCUGCUUUUUUACAACAUACAUCAGGAGAUACAGAGGAAGCUUUGUGUUUUCAGUGGCAAAUACGGCAAGUUCAGCUUGCAGUCUGAGUUGCAGGUGAUUGGAAGAGGAUAAACUCUGUCGGUCCCCGGCUCUUGUGUUGAUGGGAGCCUCCAGCGCAGAAGGAGUGCCCCAGAGUCGUUGGUGUGUGCCAUGGGGCACUGCAGUGGGCAGCGGAGAUUCGGCUCUUCAUUCCAAAUGCCUGCCGGUCCAGAUGUUAACCCAGGUUUACGGGAAGUGCUGCUUGAGAGAUCGCUGUCCCUGUCCUGUGGACCCCCAGUUUGCUCACAUACUUGGGUUAUCUGUUUGAGGGGAAAUAAAAAGGGCAAAACACUCCACCUCUCGAAAGUCUCCCUUUUCUUAGCUUUCACGGAAAUCAAGGGUGUUUUCCCAAUAUAUUCUUCCUUCCAGUGUAUACAAAAGAGAUAAUCCUGGUGUGUUCCCUCACGAUACACAUUAAAUUGGUCCCUCCUCUCAAAGAAGAGCUUUAUUAACAUCACCAUUUACACCAAAAAUAACGAUAUUGUAUUCAAACAUUCUGGCCCCAUAACAGCACACAAGUGGAAGCAGUUUUGUGUAGAGUGCAGGCAGAUGUGAUAUAUUCCAUACAAAUGAUAUAUUUCAUAUCUAGUGUCUCUUCAAGGCCCAAGUGGAUUAAUGGAUUUCACCUUGCCUCAAAGUAAAAAAGCCAGUUUUCCCCAGAAGCAUACCUGAACUACCCCAGUGGACUGCGUUUCCUACAGUGAACUGGACAGUCCCGUGUAUACUGAAUCCUCGUCUGUCCUGGUAACUCCACUUGGGAACCCAACUAACUGAGCAUUGUGCAUAACAGAGCUGUCCUGCUUUUGCACAAAAAUACCUAUAUUUUGUUCCCUACUUAUAGGAAAGAAUGGCCACUAUAUGUUUCAUGGGUCCUUAUGGCUUUGGAGACAGUCGAGAUUCAAGGUGGGAUCUAUCCCCAAUUCGGGGGAGUCCAAGGAGAAAGCCCAGGGAUGGCAGAAAUGGCCAGGAUGCCGGGACAGCAGACAUUCGAGACCCCGAGACUUGCGGGUUCACAGAGACACCAGGAGUAUGCGCGGUGUUUGGGACAUGAGGGAUCUCAGGGACCUCGUGAUCUAAGAGACCCUAGGAAUCUUCUAGGUCAGUGAGACCCCAUGUACGACAGACACAGAGACACGAGAGACUCCUGAGAUCCUGUAUACAGGAGGGAAGACUCUUAGGACUGAUGCCUGCAGGAUGAGUCUUAUUUUGACUGUUACAGAGAUAGUUUGAUGGACGAGGCGCUCCAGGCCCUGAAAGUCAGUCUUGUGCAAAAGAGCGUUUGAAACAUGAGGAACGGCCUAGAGAAGAGCUUUAUCGUCAAUAUUUUGAGGAGAUUCAGAGACGCUUUGAUGCCGAAAGGCCUGUCGAUUGUUCUGUGAUUGUGGUCAACAGACAAAAGACUAUGCUGAGUGUGUGGGGCAGAAGCUGUGAGACCCGGUGUGGUAGUGGACUUGAUCCUCCUCAACAGAGGUGUCGUCGUCACAAGCCUUGGAGGAUGUUAGCAGGGGACGUUCCCUUUUUCUAUUGUCAUCAUCCAGCAACCCCAGAUUCACUGCACCCGUGCAGCCAACAUCAUGUUUGGAAACCCGCAAGAGCAUCGCGACCUGCGCCUGGCAGACGCCAUGGUGCUGGUGGCCAGAAGUUAUGAGCGUUACAAGAAUGAGCACUGGGAGAAGGAACGUGAGGAGAUUGCCAGAAUGGCAGCCAGGAUGAAGCCAUCCUGCAAGAAAGAGAGAGAGGAGGCCCUGGGGAGGGAGUGUGCGGGGCCUGCUGGCAGACAGCAGGUGCCUCACUGCCGAAGAGACUGACGAGAUCAUCACCCACCUGCAAGAGUAGAAGGUGUGGCUGAUGGGGAGCAGCACAGACUCUCUGCCUGGCCCGAUUUCCUGCCAACCACUCGGGCGACCUCCGGUGCCUCGCUGAAGACACGGCCAAGCUCCCAAAAGCUCCAGAGAGGCCACGUGCUCCCCUCUGCUACACCCACUCCAUCUGCAUCCCCCACCUCCCAGCAAGAGUUUCAGGCCAAAAUCCUCAGGCUCUUCAGUAGUGGUACAGGGUGGCCACAUCCCCCUCAGAUGCUGCCAGAAACACCCCGACCAGAAUUUUUCCACAGCAGCAAUCAGCCAGCCUCCGCAAAGAUCACGGGCCUUUGGCAAUCAGCCUCCAAGCAUUUUAGGGCAGGGAGGACCUGCUCAGAACAUGGGCCCCAGACCUGGGGCUCCUUCCCAAGGGCUUUUUGGCCAACCUUCCAGUUGCCUGGCACCUGUUGGCACCAUGGCUAGCCAGUGGCCUGUGUCUUCCACAGGUGUCAACUUUGACAAUCCAAGUGUACAGAAGGCUCUGGAUACCCUGAUCCAGAGUGGCCCUGCUCUCUCCCACCUGGUUAGCCAGACCACAGCACAGAUGGGGCAGCCACAGGCCCCCAUGGGAUCUUACAGAGGCAUUACUGAGGCUAAACCUUGCAGCUAUCCCCGGUCCCCUCAUCCCCUGGCCUCCUCCCACUUACUGCGUUCUAAAUAGAGUUGUUUGGAGGAUAUUCUUUGCCUUCUCCAGGUCUGCAUCAAGUGUCAUCAGUUUCUACCACCUGCUCUCUCUCCUGCCCAAGGCUGUGUUGCUUAUUCCUUACCAAGUUUAUGCUGCAUUUGGGGCUGUAUUUUAUUUUGUUUUUUGGAUUUUUGUAGGAAAUAAGUAUCUCCGGGGUCACUUGGGCAGUACAGGUGUCUGGGCCUAUGUCUGAUGGGGUUUCUCCGGUCCCUCUGUCUACCGGAUUUGGAGCCAGGCCCAGCUGGCCACGUUUGGAAUGGCAUCUGUCAUGUCGGUAGCUACUUCCUUUGUUCACUGUGAACCUACCAAGGCUUUCCAGCUUCAAACACGUCAACCAGAGCUCAAGCUUCCAGCUCCUGCCUGGAGUUAAAGAAAAGUCGGCGGGCCUCAGCAGGCAGAGUGUCAUCAUCCCCCAGCCCCACAUGUCUGGGGGCUGCUUGAGGAUCCAUAAAUUAGCUACUCUGGAUUGUUGAGGAAUGGCCAUGGCAGCCGCAGAAGAAAGAAGUUUUCUGUCUGUGCCAAGGUUGUUAUUCGUUUCUUUCUCUUUUAUUUUUCAUUUUCAUUUCAUUGGAAGAUCUCCAAUGGACAGAACCGCUCCAGCCAGCAGCAGGUUAGCUCACACUGUGAAUCCGGGCCCCACACUCUUCCCCCUGCCGGUUCUGUCAGCAGCCCCCUCCAGCAGCACUUCCGUGGAGUCGAUUCUGAGACUCUGGCCGGGAACACUCAUUUCUUCGGUGAUUUGCUUUGAGCUUUUGGCUCAAAAUCCCAGGCUCUUGUUUUCGUCUAGACUCUUGUUCUGUUUCCCGAGCAGCAGGAGGUAGGGACCACUUUGAUGUCGACUUCUGGUAGCUGGACAUGUUCUUGAGAUAGGUGACUGUUCACGAUGUUUGCAGCAGAGUGAAACUGUUGGAGGGAGGGCUUCUGGCUGUGGUUCUAAGAGGAGCCCCAGGGAGCUGCCCUCUCCCCAGGGGCUGUGCUCAGUGCAUCCCUGUGGAUCACAGUCUCGAGAUCCUCUAGCAGGGGAGAGGGAGAGCAGUGACUUCAGCCGAGUCCCUGACAGUGGCAGAGAAAACAAUGGUUUCAAAAGUCAAGGUCCCCGAAUGGCAGCAUUUUAUGUUCUGACCUGUUUGUGGUAUAUAGUGUUUUUUUUUUUUGCUCUUUGGAACUCUUGUGUUAUUAAUAAAAUGAAAUGAUUGGAGUUCAAGACCAGACUGGCCAAUGGUGAAACCCUGUCUUUACUAAAAAAUUCAAAAAUUAGCUGGACGUGAUAGCUCCUGCCUGUAAUCCCAGCUGCUUGGGAGGCUGAGGCAGGAGAAUUGCUUGAACUGGACCCGGGAGGCAGAGAUUGCAGUGAGCCAAGAUGGUGCCACUCCACUUCAGCCUGGGCCACAGAGUGAGACUCUGUGUCAAAAAAAUGAAUAAAUAAAAAUAAAAUGAAAUGAUUACUUUUUGAUUAAAAUGAAAAAAGUAAAAAGAAAAAAAAAAGAUCUCUUGAAUCUGAGAGGUGGUUGUGCUGAGUGAAAUGAACCAGGCACGGAAACACAAAUACUUCGUGAGCUUACUCCCACGUGGGAUCAUAAAUGGUCAGACUCAUUCAUAGCAGCAGAGAGUAGAAUGGCAGCUACCGGGACCUAAGUAGAGUUGUGUAUGUGGAAGAGAUUGGUCAAAGGAUACAAAGUUUUCGUUGGGAGAAGUAACUUCGGGAGAGGAUCUAUUGUACAACGUGAUGACUAUAGGUAGUUGCAUUGUAUUGUAUACUUGAAAAUUGCUAUAAAAGCACAUUUUUAAUGUCCCCCCCCAAAAAAAAUUGAUACAUAUGUGAGAUAACACAUUUGUUUGGUAACCUGAUAAAGCCAUUUCAGAAUAUGUACAUAUAUCAAAGCAUCAUAUAGUACACCACAAAUACGUAUAAUUUUUACUUGUCAGUUAAAAUAAAUUUAAAAAAUUUAAAAGGAGACAACUUCAUGUUCAUUUAUAUGGAGGGAGAAAUCUAUGUGCUUCUAUAAAAGUGGUACAAUAUAAAAUCUAGAGCAAGAUAGAUUUUGUCUGGUCCAGAAUCAAUUUUUCGUGGCGUCUCAGAGCCCUACACUGAGGGUGGCAGGGUUAAAGGGCUGAGUAGAGCAGCCAAAAGGGAAUGCUGGGGAAUGGGGGCAGGAAGUAUUUUUACCUCUUUUUUCAAAAUUAAAAUACCUUGAUUGGCUUCUCUGGCUAAAAAGGCAAUAUAUAGUUAUCAUAAAAAUGCUUAUGGAAUAAUGUAAACAUUAUAGUCAACGUUGUCAAAAUGCCUGCUCCUCAUUAACACGGAGAGUCUAUCAUUCUGGACUGGUAUGUGUGUAGACAUUUGCACACUAACUAAAAUUUCACAUAGGCAAUACGUGCAAAACUUUCUAUAGCUAGAAUCAAUUUUGUUUAAUAGUAUUCUAUGAAUAAUAUUUUAUUUAUAGUAUAUUGUGAAGAUCAUGUAAAUAAUAUUGGUAAUACACAUAUACAUAUAUAUUUAAGUACAUGGAUAUCCUCAUCCUUUUAAUGACUACAUAAAAUCCCACCAUGUUCAUGCACCAUAACUAAUUAACCCUUCAUUUCUUUGUAGAUAUUUCAUAAUUUACUGUUUAUAAACAGAACUAUGAUGAGUUUGCAUUCUUGUGCUCUUGUCUGUUUAGUUUCUUAGAAUAAAUUCUUAAAAAUGGAAUAUUGGGUCAAAAGAUGUUCAAAAUUUAUAAUGACAUUUGCAAGUUUGACUUUCAAUUUAUAUCAGUAAUGAAAUUUACUAACUCUUGCCAACACAAUUGAUCCAAGUUGAUAUCUUUAAUUUGCACUUACUUGAUUACUAAUGAGGCUUACCACAUUUCUGCAUUUAUCUGCUAUUGCCUCACUUUCCCUUCCUCAGUGGGGCUCCUUCUUCAUCCCUUAACAGGCUGCUUGUCUUUGCUUAAACCCCGAAGACUGGAAUCCCCGAGCAUGCCAUUUCAAAUCACUUUGUUCUCCUAUUGCCCCCUCCUUAAUGAUCUCAUCUGGUCCCACAGUUUCAAUAGUCACGUGCUGGUAACUCCCGGAUUUACGGCUCCAGCCUUGACCUCUCUGCUGAAUUUCAGUGCCUACCUGAAACUUCGACACUGGAACUAACAUCCUAUGCCACAUAGGUUUAGCAAUUAGUUAUUUUUCAUGAAUUUGGUUCUGUAUAAACUGAACCUAAGAUCUCCUCUCAGUUCAGCAUUUUUGUCUAUUAUGUUUUUGAGUAUUCUUUCCUACAGAUUCUGCUCUCUUCUUCCAGGAUUCUCAUUAUUCUUCACAGGGCUGCCAUCAUUUUUCUUCCAUAUCUAUGAUCGCUGUGAUUUUUAUAUCUGUGUUCUUUAAAUUUGAGUUUCAGCCUAUUCUCCACAUUGCUGAUGUACUUCUCUGCAACGGUAAUUCUGUUCUUUACAGGUUCCUACAAUGUGAGUUCAUGAGCGUUCUGUUUCUUUCACAUGAGAGCUCUCUUUUUAUUUGAGUCUGCUUUCUUCGCUCCAUUGUCUUUUCACCUUCAUUGUGCGGAGCCAACAGCAGGUGCUCAUGGAGGAUAAGGAGAUAAAUGACUAUGGGCAGCGGCUUCCUGGAGCCAGGUGUCCCACUGACAGGCCAGCUCUACAGCCCCUCCUUCCUGCUCCCGGAUGACUCAGGUGCCCUUCCCUGUUCCAGCCAUUCCAGGAGAAUCAUGAUCAACGUGCUUAUCAUACUCUGACUUACCUGUUUUUCUCUUUUUCAACUCGGAAUUUUGAGAGGACAAAAACUUUCCGUUGUUCGACAUGUAUUCUCAGAAACUAGUACAGAAGACUGGCACAAAGUGGGCCUUUUAGAAAUAUUUACUAAUUUAAUGAAUCACGGCAUGAGGAUGUAGUUCUUACUAUGCAAAUUGUUGACCUUUGCUACACAGAAUGUCAAGGUCAAGGACAUCUGAAUCAAUAAAGAAAAUAUUAUAUGUAUUUGUGUGUGCAUGUAUAUAUAUAUACACAUAUAUAUAUGUGUGUGCACACACACACACACAAGUGAACUGUUAUUCAGCCUUAAAAGAGAAGGAAAUCCUACUAUUCAUGACAAGAUAAACUGACCCAGAAGAUAUUAUGUUAAGUGAAAUAAGCCAGUCACGGAAGAACAAAUACUGCCUGACUCCACUCAUACGAAGAAUCUAAAACAGUCAAAUUCACGGAACCAGAGAAUAGAAUGGUGGUUGCUAGGGGUUGUGGGGAGGAAGAAAUGGGGAUUUGCUGCUCAGUGGGUGUGACAUUUCAAUUAUUCAAGACAAAUAAUCUCUAGAGAUGUGCUGUACAGAACAGUAUCUGUGGUUAAGCAUCAGCAUUGCAACUUUAAAAUAUUGUAGAUGAUGGGUCUCAUGUUAAGUGCUCUUACCACACAGAAAACAGAGCAAAAACGAAACCACAAAAGAGCACAAGAAAACUUGUGGAAGUGACGGGUAUGUUUCGUGGUACUUGGCUGUGGCAUCAUGAGUAUAGGCAUAUGUCCAAGCUCAUCAAAAUAUAUACAUCAGGUGCAUUUUUAUAUAUACAAAUAUCAACUAUAUCUCAAAUCUUAAAAAUUCUAAAAGAUUUAAAAAGGAACUAUAUUUGAAGGCAUACUUGUUUAAGUGUGAAUUUCCUCACAUGAUGAACUGCUAGUCAUAUGUCUGCCUCUGUUUUUAUUAAAGGGUUAUUUACUCUACUGGAGAGAGAGAGGGAGAGAGAGAGAGAGAGAGAGAGAGAGAGAGAGAGAGAGAGAGAGAGAGACAAGCCACUGAAAAUACCAGAGAUGCUCAGUUCUACUAGAAGUGAGCAUGAUACGUAACACAUUAUUAAUGUAGCUUAUUUCAUAAAUUUGUUUAUGAGAACUGGGUUUAAAUUUCAGGCUUUCAUAAGUAGUAAAACAGCCUAUGUAGAUUCGGUAAUGGUACAAUUCCCUUUUAAAUGAUACACAAAGCAGAACUCAUUGGAAUACAAGCAUGUCUUCCGCUGAAAGCCCAGAGCCCCUUUCAGUGGACGGUUAUAUGGAGACCCCCAUGCCUGUGAAUCAGAGCCUCAGUAAAGGCUCACGUCUGUCCGAUCGUCCUGCUAAGAAGUUCACUGAGUUGGGAAAAUUACAUUCUUAGCAAAGAAGAGCACAAGAAACCUCAUAUCGUUGGUGUUGAGGUUGGAGUACGUAUCAAGGACAGUACCUACCAUGGCUUCUGAAGUUUUGGCAAAACCUCAGAUGCGUGGCCUUCUGGCCAGGCAUCUGUGAAUUCAUAUGGUUGGAGCAUUCCUGGUAUCCCUGGGGGUUGCAGCUCUCUAUAAGUUUGCUGUGGCUGAACCAAGAAAGAAGGCAUAUGCAGAUUUCUACAAAAAUUACAGUCCUGAGAAAGAUUUUGAGGAGAUGAAGAAGGCUGGUAUCUUUCGUAGUAUAAAGUGAUCUUGGAAUAGAAAGAAUUUCUUCAGGUUGAAUUACCUAGAAGUUUGUCACUGACUAGGGUUCCUGAACUAUGACACAUGAAUAUGUGGGCUAAGAAUUAGUUUCUCUUGAUAAAUAAAAGUUAACAAAUACAAAAAAAAAAAAAAAAGAAAA
Callithrix jacchus (white-tufted-ear marmoset) is the source of this 10760-nucleotide RNA transcript. It is a transcript of the gene named cytochrome c oxidase subunit 6C pseudogene, with no coding region annotated. Lineage: Eukaryota; Metazoa; Chordata; Mammalia; Primates; Cebidae. The record is from RefSeq and is a predicted model, not a curated record.